Molecule: ribosomal RNA, 425 nt
Filed under: uncultured bacterium
Lineage: Bacteria
Description: bacterial SSU rRNA
Rfam family: Bacterial small subunit ribosomal RNA
Source: RNAcentral
GUGGGGAAUCUUGCGCAAUGGGCGAAAGCCUGACGCAGCCAUGCCGCGUGAAUGAUGAAGGUCUUAGGAUUGUAAAAUUCUUUCACCGGGGACGAUAAUGACGGUACCCGGAGAAGAAGCCCCGGCUAACUUCGUGCCAGCAGCCGCGGUAAUACGAAGGGGGCUAGCGUUGCUCGGAAUUACUGGGCGUAAAGGGCGCGUAGGCGGACAGCUUAGUCAGAGGUGAAAGCCCAGGGCUCAACCUUGGAAUUGCCUUUGAUACUGGCUGUCUUGAGUUUGGGAGAGGUGAGUGGAACUCCGAGUGUAGAGGUGAAAUUCGUAGAUAUUCGGAAGAACACCAGUGGCGAAGGCGACUCACUGGCCCGUUACUGACGCUGAGGCGCGAAAGCGUGGGGAGCAAACAGGAUUAGAAACCCGGGUAGUCC